GACGAACGCUGGCGGCGUGCUUAACACAUGCAAGUCGAACGGAAAGGCCCUGCUUUUGUGGGGUGCUCGAGGGGCGAAGGGGUGAGUAACACGUGAGUAAGCUUGCCUUGACUGUGGGAUAACCUCAGGAAAGUGGGGCUAAUACCGGAUAGGAGCUCCUGCUUGAGGGUGGGGGUGGGAAGGUUUCGGUGGUUGGGGAUGGACUGGCGGCUUAUCAGCUUGUUGGUGGGGUAGUGGCUUAGCAUGUCUUGGAGGGGUAGCCGGCCUGAGAGGGUGGACUGCCCCAUUACGCCUGCGCUACGGCCCAGCCCCGAACGGGAGGCAAGGGUGGAGAGUAUUGUACAGUGGGCGGGAGCCUGAUGAGACACCGCCGCGUGGGGGAUGUCGUGCAUGCGGUUGUGAAGCGCAUUCGCUUUAGACGGAGCGUUAGUGACGGUACCGGGUGAAUAAGCACCGGCUAACUACGUG
RNAcentral lists this ribosomal RNA (468 nucleotides) under uncultured bacterium. Its description in RNAcentral is "partial 16S ribosomal RNA". It matches the Rfam family "Bacterial small subunit ribosomal RNA", at positions 28 to 507 of the family's 1533-position model. The record is from RNAcentral.